GUCUACGGCCAUACCACCCUGAACGCGCCCGAUCUCGUCUGAUCUCGGAAGCUAAGCAGGGUCGGGCCUGUUUAGUACUUGGAUGGAAGAGGACACUGUAGAAG
RNAcentral lists this ribosomal RNA (104 nucleotides) under Canis lupus dingo (dingo). The record is from RNAcentral. Lineage: Eukaryota; Metazoa; Chordata; Mammalia; Carnivora; Canidae.